This 303-nucleotide ribosomal RNA is filed under the name uncultured bacterium. RNAcentral describes it as "partial 16S ribosomal RNA". It matches the Rfam family "Bacterial small subunit ribosomal RNA", at positions 507 to 807 of the family's 1533-position model. The record is from RNAcentral.
AGCAGUAGCCACGGGAAUACAGAGGGUGCGAGCGUUAAUCGGAUUUACUGGGCGUAAAGCGUGCGUAGGCGGCUUCUUAAGUCGGAUGUGAAAUCCCUGAGCUUAACUUAGGAAUUGCAUUCGAUACUGGGAAGCUAGAGUAUGGGAGAGGAUGGUAGAAUUCCAGGUGUAGCGGUGAAAUGCGUAGAGAUCUGGAGGAAUACCGGUGGCGAAGGCGGCCCCCUGGACAAAGACUGACGCUCAGGUGCGAAAGCGUGGGGAGCAAACAGGAUUAGAUACCCCUGUAGUCCCUGUCUCUUAUAC